AGGAGGCGGGGCGCCUGUGGGAGUCGUGGAGGGAACUUUCCCAGGCCCCGAGGCGGAUCGGGUAUUGAGUCCAUGGAGCGAGCUGAGAGCUAGAGAACCUGCUAAGGCCAUCAAACCUAUCGAUCGGAAGUCAGUCCAUCAGAUUUGCUCUGGGCCGGUGGUACUGAGUCUAAGCACUGCGGUGAAGGAGUUAGUAGAAAACAGUCUGGAUGCUGGUGCCACCAAUAUUGAUCUAAAGCUUAAGGACUAUGGAGUGGAUCUCAUUGAAGUUUCAGACAAUGGAUGUGGGGUAGAAGAAGAAAACUUUGAAGGCUUAACGAUGUCACCAUUUCUACCUGCCACGCAUCGGCGAAGGUUGGGACUCGACUGGUGUUUGAUCACGAUGGGAAAAUCAUCCAGAAAACCCCCUACCCCCACCCCAGAGGGACCACAGUCAGCGUGAAGCAGUUAUUUUCUACACUACCUGUGCACCAUAAGGAAUUUCAAAGGAAUAUUAAGAAGACGUGCCUGUUUCCCCUUCGCCUUCUGCCGUGAUUGUCAGUUUCCUGAGGCCUCCCCAGCCAUGCUUCCUGUACAGCCUGCAGAACUGACUCCUAGAAGGACCCCACCCCCCUCCCCCAACCCCUGCUCCCAGGAGGACACGUGAUCACUGUAUUCAGCUCCAUCAAGAAUGGUCCAGGUUCUUCUAGAUGAUCUGCACAAAUGGUUCCUCUUCUCCUUCCUGGUGUCUGCCAUUAGCAUUGGAAUAAAGUUCCUGCUGAAAAUCCACA
Homo sapiens (human) is the source of this 770-nucleotide long non-coding RNA. Ensembl annotates it as PMS1 homolog 2, mismatch repair system component pseudogene 4. Its record names the gene PMS2P4. The record is from Ensembl. NCBI's taxonomy places the organism in Eukaryota, Metazoa, Chordata, Mammalia, Primates, Hominidae.